RNAcentral lists this ribosomal RNA (497 nucleotides) under uncultured bacterium. Its description in RNAcentral is "partial 16S ribosomal RNA". It matches the Rfam family "Bacterial small subunit ribosomal RNA", at positions 28 to 507 of the family's 1533-position model. The record is from RNAcentral.
GAUGAACGCUGGCGGCGUGCCUAAUACAUGCAAGUCGAGCGAACGGACGAGAAGCUUGCUUCUCUGAUGUUAGCGGCGGACGGGUGAGUAACACGUGGAUAACCUACCUAUAAGACUGGGAUAACUUCGGGAAACCGGAGCUAAUACCGGAUAAUAUUUUGAACCGCAUGGUUCAAAAGUGAAAGACGGUCUUGCUGUCACUUAUAGAUGGAUCCGCGCUGCAUUAGCUAGUUGGUAAGGUAACGGCUUACCAAGGCAACGAUGCAUAGCCGACCUGAGAGGGUGAUCCGCCACACUGGAACUGGGACACGGUCCAGACUCCUACGGGAGGCAGCAGGAGGGAAUCUUCCGCAAUGGGCGAAAGCCUGACGGAGCAACGCGGCGUGAGUGAUGAAGGUCUUCGGAUCGUAAAACUCUUUUAUUAGGGAAGAACAUAUGUGUAAGUAACUGUGCACAUCUUGACGGUACCUAAUCAGAAAGCCACGGCUAACUACGUG